CGUCAUAACGGAAAAAGCUGAGAAGAGAAGCCUCUCCUGUGUCCAUGAGGAGCCACAAGUCCAGGGAUCAACCUCCGGUAUUUAAAGAUGGACGCCGUUCUGCUGAUCAAAGAAUCCCUGUGGAAAGACCAGGUUCCCCUGGACUGGACUGUGUGUCCAUGAAGAGUGACAGGUCAAAAGGUCAACACAUCAGUUUUAGAAAA
Toxotes jaculatrix (banded archerfish) is the source of this 203-nucleotide long non-coding RNA. RefSeq lists it as uncharacterized. The record is from RefSeq and is a predicted model, not a curated record. The transcript is spliced from 3 exons. Lineage: Eukaryota; Metazoa; Chordata; Actinopteri; Toxotidae.